GAGAGAGAGAGAGAGAGAGAGAGCGAGCGGGAGAAGGAUCGAAGGCGAGAAGGUUUCAGGUGCGCUGCAAUCCUUGCAUUGGUACUUAUUCAUCUCAAAUUUGUGUUAUUAAUUGGUGAUCUCGUGUGUGCUGAAAGCCGAAUCGACGGCUGCGGUCUCUCCACUCGAGUUUACCGUCGGGUUUUCCUCAGAUGUCAGCCUCUGAACAACAUAUGGCUUGGACUCAUGCAUCAUGGGAGAAGUUUGCUAUAUCGUCCCUAGGUUGUGGAAUGUGAGUUGCUGGUGGUCCUUGCAAUCGAAUUACCAUACGAGGGACAUGACCCAGUUGAGGUAUGCUUCAGUUGACUGCUGAGGUGCAAGCCGUUUGACACAUACCCAAGAACUUACGAUCUCUUGCAUGCAUCUGGCCUCUUCUCCAUCGAGCAAAAAUGAUGCAACAUCUCCAGCAUCAUGCUUGAGAUGGAUCGGAUGCUGAGACCCGGCGGGUGUGCCUACAUUCAUGUAUUUUCUAGGUUCUCGUUGCAUGUUCCAAGCAGCAUGACUGUGGCUCUAGUUGGAGAGAGCGGCAGUGGGAAGUCGACAGUGAUCAGCCUGUUGGAGAGGUUCUUGACCCCCAAGCUGGUGAAGUGCUCAUAGAUGGCAUCAACUUGAAGAAGCUGCAGCUUGGAUGGAUCAGAGAGAAGAUCGGUCUUGUUAGCCAAGAGCCCAUCUUAUUCACAACUACUAUAAAGGAGAAUAUCACAUAUGGUAAGGAGGGUGCUACAUUGGAAGAAAUCAGAACAGUAACUGAGAUUGCUAAUGUUGCAAGGUUCAAAGACAAGAUGCUACAGGUCACUUGUACUCUUUUUUUUUUUUUUUUAUUUUGGUAAAUUCAUACUACUCUCUCAAAGAUGUCGUGGGUGGAAGGCUAGGAAAGGAAGACAUUUGCAGUUUGUUUUGGUAAAUUAAUUGUUUUGUUGA
Molecule: RNA transcript, 960 nt
Organism: Magnolia sinica
Lineage: Eukaryota; Viridiplantae; Streptophyta; Magnoliopsida; Magnoliales; Magnoliaceae
Exons: 5
Source: RefSeq, a predicted model, not a curated record